Molecule: ribosomal RNA, 492 nt
Filed under: uncultured bacterium
Lineage: Bacteria
Description: partial 16S ribosomal RNA
Rfam family: Bacterial small subunit ribosomal RNA
Source: RNAcentral
AGUGAACGCUGGCGGUAGGCCUAACACAUGCAAGUCGAACGGCAGCACAGUAAGAGCUUGCUCUUACGGGUGGCGAGUGGCGGACGGGUGAGGAAUACAUCGGAAUCUACUUUUUCGUGGGGGAUAACGUAGGGAAACUUACGCUAAUACCGCAUACGACCUACGGGUGAAAGCAGGGGAUCUUCGGGCCUUGCGCGAUUGAAUGAGCCGAUGUCGGAUUAGCUAGUUGGCGGGGUAAAGGCCCACCAAGGCGGCGAUCCGUAGCUGGUCUGAGAGGAUGAUCAGCCACACUGGAACUGAGACACGGUCCAGACUCCUACGGGAGGCAGCAGUGGGGAAUAUUGGACAAUGGGCGCAAGCCUGAUCCAGCCAUACCGCGUGGGUGAAGAAGGCCUUCGGGUUGUAAAGCCCUUUUGUUGGGAAAGAAAAGCAGCAGGUUAAUACCCCGCUGUUCUGACGGUACCCAAAGAAUAAGCACCGGCUAACUUCGUG